GAAGCCCAGCCGCAUGCUCUUGUCCUCCGCCUCCGUGUACUCGUAGGCCGGGCGGCUCCGCGCCAUGGCCGCGCUCCGCCGCCGGGGCCGCGCCGUCGGGGCCGCCUGGCAGCCGCUGCCAUGAGGGUUGGCCUGAUGUCCUCCUACCUCAACAAGACUUUUAGGUGACUCAGCAGACCAUGAGGAGUGCGAGUACUCUGGUCUGUCCAGUCCGAGACCCAGAUCUGACAUUUGGGGAGUACAGACAGACCCAGCUGCUGAAUCGUUCGUCAUCGUUUGAAGAUAAAAGGUCCUUCUCCAUCCUGUGCCUGAGGCGCAGGCUUACCUGUGGCUAGCAGCAAGACACCUAUCACUUAACAGAAGACAGUGUGCAUGUUGCACGGUGAAGGCACCUCCGUCUUGGUUAUGGGACGGAAGCAUAUCCAUAUCUCUAGACUGCGCGGGACCUCGGGUAUCUCUGCACGCCUCCCUAGCUAAAAGGCUGGGCAUCACUCACCUGCCCCACGGAUAAUGUACAUUAACAAGACUAUCUUGUCUAGCAUGAACGAGCCAUGAGACUGGUUCUCCGCACCAAUCUCUGUGUGAGAAUUACUUUGUGUAAGCAAACAGGCAGAGGGCUGGAACGAGCUCCGUGAGGCCACGUGCCGGUUUUCUUGUGAUAGUGGCCCAGAGAUGGUCCCCGUAACACCUCUCACAGAACUGUCUUGCAGUCUUCCAUAAAAGCACCAAUAACAAACUAAAACAUGUCCUUUUCAAAUCUACUGUCACAGUAUUCUGUGACACCCAACAGGAAACAGCUUGGACUUUGAAGGCAGGAAGAUCACAUGUAGCUGGCAAACACACCAUGGUGAGGAGAAAAAACCCCAACCCUCUAUCCAAAAAAAAUUGUAGAGAGAACUGAGGAGUAGCUACAAAAUUUCAGGUAUUCUGAAACUGUUCACUUCAUUGGAUGCAGCUGAAUGAGAAAGAGCAGUCACGUCAAGAAAAAGGGAACUAUUGAAAUGGUUUGGGAUUUUCUUCUUCCACUUUCGAGAACAGUGGCAAUGUUUUGCAGAAACAACAUAUUCGUGUUUGCUCCAGUUCAGGUAGCUCAAGUAGUAAUGAUCAUCAGAUGAAACGUACUUCUACUUUAAGUGGUAAGAGA
This is a long non-coding RNA of Rhea pennata, 1144 nucleotides long. RefSeq lists it as uncharacterized. The record is from RefSeq and is a predicted model, not a curated record. Lineage: Eukaryota; Metazoa; Chordata; Aves; Rheiformes; Rheidae. The transcript has 4 exons.